This is a long non-coding RNA of Bubalus bubalis (water buffalo), 399 nucleotides long. RefSeq lists it as uncharacterized. Lineage: Eukaryota; Metazoa; Chordata; Mammalia; Artiodactyla; Bovidae. The transcript has 2 exons. The record is from RefSeq and is a predicted model, not a curated record.
UAAUUAGCCAGCUAGCUACAUUUAAAACUUGGGUGAAAAUCUGGAUCUCUGUCCUAUCUGGAAAUAUCCAGAAGUUCUGACAAUACCAGGGCUCCAUGCUGUAAGGCAGAGAUCAGCUGGAGCUUUGUCAUUGCCAUUCUCUUUAGGCUGACACACUCUCUCCAGUUUAUUGGAGUCCCAUCUUCUCUGAGUUGGAUGCAGAGGGGAAUGUCAGUUCUCACGUUCAUCACAGUUGUGCUGUUUUUCUUUCUGGAGAACCCUGGAGUUCCAGUGGUGUUAUAGGAAUCAUUGCAGAACAGGAAGAGAUCAGAUGGGCUGGGUUUCAACAGAGCAACUUUGCUGUUACCUGCUGUAGAUAUUCAUCUUCUGGAUAAAAGGUCAAGUGAUAAGAAACUUCUA